GGCUAUUUUGUGUGUUCCCAGCUGACAGCCCACAUUUCUCCGCCGCACGCCUUGGCCACAGGACACAGAGCACUAAAAGGACAAGAGGCCAUUUUGGAUAACACCUCAAGGCUCAACAUGGAAGGAAGGUAGCAAUGGAGAAAACAAUGUGGACAGCACGACAGCAGGAAUCCUGUCUAGUACCUUGGGUCACUCAAGAACGACAGUAAAUCCUGGUAAUUUAGGUCAAAAAUGAAGCCCAUGAACCUGAAAUUACCAUGAAAUUCUGAUUUACAGAAGUCCUACUAUGAAUUAGUCAGGAUUCCUUUUGGACAUCUCACUUCAUGCAAUCGCUGAUCAAGACAUUUCUUCAACAAACUACCUCACAAUUCACUCUUUUGGAUAAAGGUGUGUUUCCAAAUUCAGCUGUGCCCCAUUUCCUAGUGAAUUGAUUUAAGGAAACUCUUCUACCAUUUUUCAGAGGAGAAGCUCUCAUUUUCCCAGUCCAUUGGAAAGGAGGUGAAAAAGGCAUGUUAGAAACUGAAAGUGGCUAGAUGUCUGUUGGGAACAUAACAGCACAAUGAAAAUAAUUAAGUUAUCAACAACAUCACUGAUAAUAAUUCAUCUGAGGGGCACCACUGGUGCAACCAACAUCUAUUGCCCAUGAAAUGAAGACAGAUGAAGUUGAUACGAAAUAUGAAGCCUUAAAAAUCUUUUAAAUAUCUGGAUUAGUUGCAUCCCACCCAUUCCUAUGUGUGGUUUUCUUAUUUGGGAACUUCAAUGGAACUGACUUGGGAAACAGGAUGCAAUACUACACAUAUUAUUUGCCUCAAAUUAAGAUCUAAAACAGAUAAGGAAAUUCGCAAGGUAUCUAAUCUGAUAGCAAACACUUUUCAUUUCAUGCUUUCUAAUUUACCAAUGAAGAGAAGCAGCUGCUUGUGGAAAUUUUCCUAUCUAACAGGUUUAUUAGUGGUUCUAUUAUGAUCUCAUAAAGAAGUUAUCAUCUUGAGAAUCAAACACAGGUUUCAGCUCUUCUAUUCUGAGGGAAAUUUCCAUCUGAUUUUUUCCAGUCCUUUCCCAGGCACUGAUUUUUGCAUCAAUGUGCAUCACAGAUAUAAUAGUUAAAUUUAGAGUAUCACCUAGUACAUAUUAUUUAUUGGCUACAUAUCUGAGGGUUCUUGCUCUGGGGAAUAUUUAAUUCCUUAUAUUUACAGCCAAAAUAAUCUCCUAGUUUGCCAGUAGGACUCUGACUUUUUCCUCUGGGGAAACAAUCCAACUUGUUUAAGAGAAUGAUUUCCCCCCAGCUUUGAGCAAGCAACACCCUCAAACAAAGUAAUCUCUGCUUGUUACAUAGAAACACCAAGGUCACUAUCUCAAAUGCCUGGGCUUUUGUUUCUGCGAGGUCAUUCAAAGGGAAUGUUUAAUGUGGAGCUUUGUUCAGAUGCUGUCUUUACUUUUUAGACGAAGGUCUAAGAGUUUAAAAUCCUUGCAUUUCAACACAUCUGGUGGAAACAGAACUGGCUCCCUCUCUAGGGGUAGCUCUGGAUGUGGUGUGGAUUUGUAUCUCACUGUUCCUGGUGUGCUGUCCCUGGCAUUAGGGUUGUCCUGCAUCGGUUCUUUCCCUUAUACUGAGGGGCUGGGUCUCUCAGUCAACCGAGAAGCCAGCAAACAACCCCAGUGUGUCUGCCUGGAUGAGAAGGGGUGAAGACCUAGAAAGAAUGAGAUCCCCAGCACUGCCGAGGCUGCUGAGAACCUGGACAUCCAAAUGGAGAUGGGAGGACCACACGGAAUUGAAACAUAAAGGCAGACCUCAUCUGGAAAGUAUGAUAUCAGAAAGGAGGCAAUGUUAAUGCCGCCCAUGGUUCAGAACUGCCUUUGCCAGUUAUAACGACAAGUGAAGUUUCAAGAAAGAACCACCUGGAAUCUGACCCCCAGUGCUAAUGCUGAACUGAUUCGGCAGUUAUUUAAAUUCAAAGAGGGCACCCCAAGAGCACUCUUUCAGUUGGAGCAGAGCUAUUAGAAAUCACACCAUGAGCGCUUACUGGCCAGGAGAUGGAUCAUCUAAGAUGUUCUCUGUGCCACGGAUCUUGGAGCUGCACCUGCCAUUCUGAUCAUAAAUACGUGUGUCUGUGUGGCAUGAGGGUCUGAGGUUGGCAAAUACAUCUGCUAAAGCAGAAAAGAUUUGAAAAGUGGAAAAGGAGAGGCACAGCAAUGAAGACCUCAACUACAGUGAAACAAACAGGCUCUUCUGGACAGCACUUCCUCCCUGACAUCACAGUUGUGACCUGCCACUGCUAAGGGGUUCCCAGACACUUCACAGCUGAUUAAGAGACAACCAAGGAGAAGGAAAUCAUGAUUUCACUAAGAAAGGGCCAACUGCAAUGCAGGAAUAGGGCUCAGGGAAUAUGAAAGUUGCCUUCUUGAAACUUCUCCUUCAAAGAGGGAAUGGUCUCUUGGAAUUCAAGCUUCUACAAGGCGGCUACCUGGCGUUGUCCAUUUUUGCCCUCUCCUAAAAAGCAUCAUUACACCUUGCCCUUUUAACCCAUAGAACACAUAAACAUUCUUUCUCCUUAACUGAACUUACUGCCAGGAUGAACUUGAACACUGAGAUGCAAAAGAGGAGAGUUUGUUUUAACAGCUGCUUUUAUGUGGAGGCCCUGGAGUUACUACUCUAAAGACAGCUGGUUCUAAAAGCCUCUUUUUUUUUUUUUUUUUUUUUAGGUUUGACCACUGUAUUUUUUUUUUUUUUAACAUCUUUAUUGGAG
This is a long non-coding RNA of Balaenoptera musculus (blue whale), 2744 nucleotides long. RefSeq lists it as uncharacterized. Lineage: Eukaryota; Metazoa; Chordata; Mammalia; Artiodactyla; Balaenopteridae. The record is from RefSeq and is a predicted model, not a curated record. The transcript is spliced from 8 exons.